GUUCAGAGGUGUGAUGCACUCACUGUUGACUCUAAAUGAUCAUACAGAGAAGAUCUCAAUACAAACAUUUUUAAAAACACUGAAUUAUUGUUCUCAAGAGAAUCUUGAGACCAUGAACAUUUAAACCUCCCUGGAUCAAAUUCACCAUCCUGCUAUGAUCUGAUCAGACCUCUGUGGACUUCCUUCCAGUAAUCCUUCAAGCAUCACUGAACAGCUGCACUGCCUGCCCGCCUGCAGCCUCCUACUCCUCACCAGGAGCAAUGAGUCAUCCAGCAGAGCUCAGAUCGGCUUUUAAUUACGUGACCUUGUGUGAAAAGACAUUGCAAUCGUACACACUGGAUCACUGGGGAUAUCAGCUGCACAAACACUCAACUUUUCCUAACCCACGCAUGGAUCUGAGGAUUCCACAACUAUAUUCAUGUGUAUUACCACAUGCAUGCACACACUUAUAGGCUGCGUGAAUGAUCAGAUGGUGAUCAGUUUUAGUGUUGAAACAGCCUGCAUGUGUUUGUUUUAAUUAUUUUACCCUGAGCCCUCCGACAGACUCCAAGCAUUUAGUCAAAAAUAAUUUGAAUCACACUUUAAUAGACUAAUAAAUCACUUUAACUGUAAUUGUUAUAAAGCAACUUUGUGAAUGCAUUUCUUUUUGCUGUCUUUUCUUACUUGCAAAUCAUUUCCGUAUAAUACAGUUGUAGUAAUACUGUCACACCCUUAGAGCACAUUUAAAGUCAACAAUGUGGAACAUGUGCUAUUAUAGAAAGCAAUACAAUAAAAUGAAUGUGUUCCUGUGUAUUCUUAUAGUAAAAUGUUGCACACAU
Molecule: long non-coding RNA, 818 nt
Organism: Cottoperca gobio
Lineage: Eukaryota; Metazoa; Chordata; Actinopteri; Perciformes; Bovichtidae
Exons: 2
Source: RefSeq, a predicted model, not a curated record